Molecule: long non-coding RNA, 929 nt
Organism: Rana temporaria (common frog)
Lineage: Eukaryota; Metazoa; Chordata; Amphibia; Anura; Ranidae
Exons: 3
Source: RefSeq, a predicted model, not a curated record
CUACAGGGGUUCGGGGAUCGCAGCCCGUCAGGCUCCGAGUCCCCCACCAGAGACGACAAUGCCUUCUUCUUACUCGCCGCCAUCGCUCCCGUGACUUAUUUCCGGGAAGCGGAAGGAAGGUGUGUGUGAAGUUCUUUGUAGGUGUUGAUACCUGGUAUCCCUGAUGUGAAACACUAUAGAGACAUGGUUGAUUUUGGAAAGUGGCCUUUUUUCACUUUGCUUUCACCCCAGGAGGUGUCCUCCAUUCGACAAGCCUGUGUUUUUGGUACUUGUGCCAAUGAAGUUAUCUACACUACUGACCAUGAGGAGCGCGCUGGUCGGUUCCUUGCGCAUGCUCUGAAACGCGUUGUGGUCCCCCUCGGCUUCCGUCCAAGCCGACGUCACGCAUCAGCUGAUGAACUCAUUGCCUAGCAGCGGUAUAACAACAAGGACUUAGCCGUUUCUCCCCGGCUCCCUCCGGCCGCCGAGUUCUCAUGCCUUACUGGCUGUCAGCAACAGACGGACACCAGCUCCCAUGACUGCAGCAUAAUACUAUGAUGUAAGUGCUGGAUAUUUUUAUGAUUUAUAAUUAAAACACAGUAUACUCAGAGGCGCUCUUCUCUUUUGUUUUUCUCUUGCAUAUAUUGAGCUGGCUUCGCUCCUGGAUAGCUGCCCUGAUCUACUGUUUUCAUCUACACUGGUUCGUCAUUGCCAUCAACUAUAGCUUUUUCUGGCACCCUGCUGGGAUUGAUCCUUGUAUGGACUCAUGAACAUUUACACCAUAUAUCUCCGCUGUGGUUUGUUAUUUUAAUUUAUUCAUUUCUAUAUAUCCGUUUAUUUUAAUUUUCAGCCUCCCAUUGAUUGGUCUGUGCAAACACCCUGAGCGCUGUACUCCACCCAUUUUUUAGUAAUGUCAUUUUGUGCAGGGACAGUUCUAAACACGUGCCACU